AGAUCGAUAUGCGCUACUUAGCUCAGGGCAUUGACCGUCUUGACAUGAGGGUCCAGAACCUUAGCGAGUAUGUUGCACAUGUGGACGCGCAACAGCGGUGGCAAGGGAAUGCAUUGAAUGCAUUCUUUGCUCACCAGGGGUUUCAGUAUUCGGUUCCCUUUCCACCACCAUUCCAGUCACGAUUUGAUGGGGCCGGUACUUCUGGGACACAGCCACAUGAUGAUGGAGAUGACGAGUGAUCCUUUUUAUUUUGUUUUAUUUGUUUUGUGUUAUUUUUAGUUUAGUUUAGUUUUUAGUAUUUGGUAUGUAAUUAAACUUUGAUUUAGUUUGAUUUAGUUUGUUUUCCAUGUUGAUGCUCUUUGGUUGUUU
This 369-nucleotide long non-coding RNA is filed under the name Lactuca sativa (garden lettuce). Its description in RNAcentral is "long non-coding RNA (LSAT_LNC001598)". Lineage: Eukaryota; Viridiplantae; Streptophyta; Magnoliopsida; Asterales; Asteraceae. The record is from RNAcentral.